Molecule: ribosomal RNA, 266 nt
Filed under: uncultured soil bacterium
Lineage: Bacteria
Description: partial 16S ribosomal RNA
Rfam family: Bacterial small subunit ribosomal RNA
Source: RNAcentral
GGGACGAACGCUGGCGGCGUGCUUAACACAUGCAAGUCGAGCGGUAAGGCCUUUCGGGGUACACGAGCGGCGAACGGGUGAGUAACACGUGGGUGAUCUGCCCUGCACUCUGGGAUAAGCCUGGGAAACUGGGUCUAAUACCGGAUAUGACCUGCUCUCGCAUGGGGGUGGGUGGAAAAGAUUUUAUCGGGUGCAGGGAUCGGGGCCCGCGGCCUAUCCAGCUUUGGUUGGGUGGGGUAAUGGCCUACCGAAGGCGACGACGGGUA